This 37582-nucleotide long non-coding RNA is filed under the name Malus domestica (apple). Its description in RNAcentral is "long non-coding RNA (MDOM_LNC001630)". Lineage: Eukaryota; Viridiplantae; Streptophyta; Magnoliopsida; Rosales; Rosaceae. The record is from RNAcentral.
ACCCGACGCGGAGCUCCUCGAGAAUGGCGAGGAGGUCGUAGGCGUAGCCUUCGAGGGUGGAGUAGCGCUCGAAGUCGAAGUAUUCAGGGUUGGUGGUUCCAGCGCCCAUGUUGUCGUACAUAAUGACGCGGUAGUCGUCGACGAGGUGGGGGACGAGGUGCUUCCAGACCGACUGAUCGGUGCCGAAGCCGUGGGCCAGGACUAGGACUUGCUGACCCGACCCUAAGACGCGCACGUUGUGAGCUUCUUCCACUAUUCCCAUUGCGGCUCUCUGUCUCUUCUUCCGCUUUCUGUUGCUUGAUUGUUGGUUAGUUUGGCUGACAGGUCCCAACUGGCACCACAUAUAAGAACCCUGGUGAUAAGAUCAGUGGGGGGAGUACUAAUCAGCUACUGCUGGUGUACUGGAGCUUUCUGUGUGUUCUAUUGACUGUUUUCACCCGAGUCUUUUGACAAAACUCCUAAGCUAUUGGGCAAUCCAAUCCCCCAACCCCCAAAAAUGGUUCAUCCCUUCCUAAUAGCCUGGGCUCCAGGGGAGCUCGACACAGCCCCCAGUCCCUAAUCGCCUGGCCUGUGACUAGGUGGAGUAUCGUUAAGCCGACGUCACGGUAACGUCAAGCUGACAUCACGGUGGCAUCAACCAUGAUUUUGAUUAUUUUGCCCCAAGCGUGUGCAAUUCACUGCAAGUAAGGGCGCCUCCCUCGACAGGAUUUCAAGGGUGGGCCCACAUGCAGGUGCACUAAGUGGCUCCGAAUUAGGGGCUAAGUGGCUCUUCCUCAACAAUUGGAUUUUCAACGGCUAUAUUUUGGGCCCAACGGCUAGACGACUUAAACACUCUGGACCAUUGGAUUUUAUUUUAUUUUUGUAAUCCAAUGGUCCAGAUUAAUUAAGUUAAUAAAAUUAUAACAAAUUAUUAAAAAAUUCAAACAAAAAAAAUUAUUUGGUGUGUUUUUGUAAGUUUAUGUGUUAAAAUAUACCCACAAAGUACUUCCGGAUAAUAACAUGUCGCGUUCUGAGAUUAGUUAAAAAUUCUAUCUGAAAUUAAAAAUAAAAUUAUUUUUUAGUAUGUUUCUUUGCUAUUCUUUUACCUUUCUUGGUCAGAGCGAUGUAGUGGGAGCUGCAAGCUUUACGUGCUCAAUUUUGGCAGAGAACUUUGGCAAAGUUAUCUGUGGUACCCAUGAGCUAGUGUUGCGUGUGGGAAGUGGGUGAUUGAACAAUAAGAUUCAUGUGUUUUCUACUUCCUUCAGAAGUCUUCGACAGAAUGCCCAUAAUUUCCGCAAAGCUGAGUGUGCGUGUGACAGGUGCUGACAAGGCUGGAAAAGUAGGUGCCUCUUCGAUUUCUGAGAUCGGCCCUCGUGGUCUCUGAGGAGCCCAGCUUUUGAGAAAGCGAGCGCCUCUUCGAUUUCUGAGAUCGGCCUUCGUGGUCUUUGAGCAGCCCAACUUUUGAGAAAGCAAACGCCUCUUCGAUUUCUGAGAUCAACCCUCGUGAUCUCUAAGCAGCCCAGCUUUUGAGAAAGCAAACGCCUCUUCGAUUUCUGAGCAGGCGCCUCUUCGAUUUCUGAAGCUUCCGUCGAGUGCAGAUUUUUAUAGGGGCUGGCAUUAAGUUCCAAAGCACACUUGAAUCUCCACCAGUAGAAGCUCCAUUCUUGCACUUCUAAGAUCUUGAUUUGUCCGACCUCUUCUCUCUUCAACACCUUUGAAAAUGUCUGGCCCCUCCGACCGUCGUUUUGACUUGAACCUUGUUGAAGAGGCAGCCCCGCCUUCUCCAGACAACAUAUGGCGCCCAUCCUUCGUCUCCCCUACUGGUCCUCUUACCGUUGGGGAUUCCGUGAUGAAGAAUGAUAUGACCGCUGCGGUGGUGGCCAGGAACCUUCUCACUCCCAAAGAUAACAGACUACUUUCCAAACGGUCUGAUGAGUUAGCUGUUAAGGAUUCGCUGGCUCUCAGUGUUCAGUGUGCAGGUUCUGUGUCUAAUAUGGCCCAACGCCUAUUUGCUCGAACCCGCCAAGUUGAAUCAUUGGCGGCUGAAGUGAUGAGUCUCAAACAGGAGAUUAGAGGGCUCAAGCAUGAGAAUAAACAGUUGCACCGGCUCGCACAUGACUAUGCUACAAACAUGAAGAGGAAGCUUGACCAGAUGAAGGAAACUGAUGGUCAGGUUUUACUUGAUCAUCAGAGAUUUGUGGGUUUGUUCCAAAGGCAUUUAUUGCCUUCGUCUUCUGGGGCUGUACCGCGUAAUGAAGCUCCAAAUGAUCAACCUCUGAUGCCUCCCUCCUUCUAGGGUUCUGUCCAGUACUGAGGCUCCGAAAUGAUCCCCCUCCGGUGCCUUCUCUUUCUGGGGCUCUACCGACUGCUGAGACUUCUCCUAAGCAACCUUUGUGAAGGCUCCCUCUUGUUUGUUUAUUUUGACUCAUGUAUAUGUACAUAUUUGUAGCUUAUCGGGGAUAUCAAUAAAUAAGCUUUCCUUCAUUUCAACGUAUUGUGUUAAAUACACCAAAGCCUUCUUCGCUAAGUUCUUUGAAUUUUCUUUUGUUGAAGCUUGUAUGUUGAAGCUUUCUGAGUGGAGCAGCAUGUAGGUUGGGGUAGUGUUCCUUUAAUUUCCCGAGUGAGGAAAACUUCUCGGUUGGAGACUUGGAAAAUCCAAGUCACUGAGUGGGAUCGGCUAUAUGAAUCUUAGAACGCCAUUGUGCUCGAUCCUGUGUCAUGUCCUUCGUUAGAUCCAAGUACUCUAAGUCUUUUCUUAGAGUCUCUUCCAAAGUUUUCCUAGGUCUUCCUCUACCCCUUCGGCCCUGAACCUCUGUCCCAUAGUCGCAUCUUCUAAUCGGAGCGUCAGUAGGCCUUCUUUGCACAUGUCCAAACCACCGUAACCGAUUUUCUCUCAUCUUUCCUUCAAUUUCGGCUACUCCUACUUUACCCCGGAUAUCCUCAUUCCUAAUCUUAUCCUUUCUCGUGUGCCCACACAUCCAACGAAGCAUCCUCAUCUCCGCUACACCCAUUUUGUGUACGUGUUGAUGCUUUCACCGCCCAACAUUCUGUGCCAUACAGCAUCGCCGGCCUUAUUGCCGUCCUAUAAAAUUUUCCCUUGAGCUUCAGUGGCAUACGGCGGUCACACAACACGCCGGAUGCACUCUUCCACUUCAUCCAUCCAGCUUGUAUUCUAUGGUUGAGAUCUCCAUCUAAUUCUCCGUUCUUUUGCAAGAUAGAUCCUAGGUAACGAAAACGGUCGCUCUUUGGUAUUUCUUGAUCUCCGAUCCUCACCCCUAACUCGUUUUGGCCUCCAUUUGCACUGAACUUGCACUCCAUAUAUUCUGUCUUUGAUCGGCUUAGGCGAAGACCUUUAGAUUCCAACACUUCUCUCCAAAGGUUAAGCUUUGCAUUUACCCCUUCCUGAGUUUCAUCUAUCAACACUAUAUCGUCUGCGAAAAGCAUACACCAAGGAAUAUCAUCUUGAAUAUGUCCUGUUAACUCAUCCAUUACCAACGCAAAAAGGUAAGGACUUAAGGAUGAGCCUUGAUGUAAUCCUACAGUUAUGGGAAAGCUUUCGGUUUGUCCUUCAUGAGUUCUUACGGCAGUCUUUGCUCCUUCAUACAUAUCCUUUAUAGCUUGGAUAUAUGCUACUCGUACUCCUUUCUUCUCUAAAAUCCUCCAAAGAAUGUCUCUUGGGACCCUAUCAUACGCUUUUUCCAAAUCUAUAAAGACCAUGUGUAAAUCCUUUUUCCCAUCUCUAUAUCUUUCCAUCAAUCUUCGUAAGAGAUAGAUUGCCUCCAUGGUUGAGCGCCCUGGCAUGAACCCGAAUUGGUUGUCCGAAACCCGUGUCUCUUGCCUCAAUCUAUGCUCAAUGACUCUCUCCCAGAGCUUCAUUGUAUGACUCAUUAGCUUAAUACCCCUAUAGUUCAUGCAAUUUUGUACGUCGCCCUUAUUCUUGUAGAUAGGCACCAAAGUGCUCGUUCGCCACUCAUUUGGCAUCUUCUUCGUUUUCAAAAUCCUAUUGAAAAGGUCAGUGAGCCAUGUUAUACCUGUCUCUCCCAAAACUUUCCACACUUCGAUUGGUAUAUCGUCUGGGCCUACUUGCUUUUCUAUGCUUCAUCUUCUUCAAAGCUACAACCACUUCUUCCUUCCGGAUUCGACGAUAAAAAGAGUAGUUUCUACACUCUUCUGAGUUACUCAACUCCCCUAAAGAAGCACUCCUUUCAUGUCCUUCAUUGAAAAGAUUAUGAAAAUAACCUUUCCAUCUGUCUUUAACCGCGUUCUCUGUAGCAAGAACCUUUCCAUCCUCAUCCUUGAUGCACCUCACUUGGUUUAGGUCCUUUGUCUUCUUUUCCCUUGCUCUAGCUAGUUUAUAGAUAUCCAACUCUCCUUCUUUGGUAUCUAGUCGCUUAUACAUAUCGUCAUAAGCCGCUAACUUAGCUUCUCUCACAGCUUUCUUCGCCUCUUGCUUCGCUUUUCUAUACCUUUCACCAUUUUCAUCGGUCCUAUCCUUGUAUAAGGCUUUACAACAUUCCUUCUUAGCCUUCACCUUUGUUUGUACCUCCUCAUUCCACCACCAAGAUUCCUUUUGGUGUGGGGCAAAGCCCUUUGGACUCUCCUAAUACCUCUUUUGCUACUUUUCGAAUACAACUAGCCAUGGAAUCCCACAUUUGGCUAGCUUCCCCUCUCUCUAUCCCACACACACUGGGUGAUUACUUUCUCUUUGAAAAUGACUUGUUUUUCUUCUUUUAGAUUCCACCAUCUAGUCCUUGGGCACUUCCAAGUUUUGUUCUUUUGUCUCACUCUUUUGAUAUGUACAUCCAUCACCAACAAGCGAUGUUGAUUAGCCACGCUCUCUCCUGGUAUAACUUUGCAAUCCUUACAAGUUAUACGAUCUCCUUUCCUCAUUAGGAGAAAAUCUAUUUGUGUUUUUGACGACCCACUCUUGUAGGUGAUCACAUGUUCUUCUCUCUUCUUAAAGAAGGUGUUGGCUAAGAAGAGAUCAUAUGCCAUUGCAAAAUCCAAGAUAGCUUCCCCAUCCUCGUUUCUCUCCCCAAAACCAUGGCCACCAUGGAAACCUCCAUAGUUGCCUGUCUCCCUGCCCACGUGUCCAUUUAAAUCUCCUCCUAUAAAUAACUUCUCCGUCUGAGCAAUUCCUUGCACCAAGUCUCCAAGGUCUUCCCAAAAUUUCUCCUUCGAACUCUUAUCCAACCCUACUUGAGGUGCGUACGGAGUCUAUAUUAAUCAAAAAGGUAAAAUUCGAAGAUUUACUUAUUCAACUAGAUGGAUGGAUCCACGUUGAGCAUACAUGUACUAAUUUAACAAAAAAUUUCUCACAUAAAAAACAAACGAAAAAGGUGAAAUUGUAGAAAAUUAGUGACAAUUGACUUAAUUAGGUAAUCAAAUUGAUGGAUUUGCUCGAAUAAAUUUUGAACGGCCUCAGUCUCUACUUUGUUGGAAGUGGCCGAGCUUUAAACUCUCCAAAUCACAAAAAUUAAACUUAUAUCUUAUUGGAGAGGUAAAUUUGGGAUUGUGGGACUGAGUUGAAUUUCAGAAUAUAAUAAUUGACUUUGAUUAGUUCCUAAUUAAAUGGAGUAAUUAGACGACGAUGUAGGUUUACCUAGGGGAGGCGGCGAUCAUGAUUAGCUUGGUGAAGAGGUCGGGUCGGGUGACUGCGGCGAUGGCGCCGACCAUGGCGGAGGAGGAAUGGCCGACGAAGAUGCAUGACUUGACGUGGAGCUCCUCAAGAAUGGCGAGAAGGUCGUAGGUGUAGCCUUCGAGGGUGGAGUAGCGCUCGAAGUCGAAGUAUUCAGGGUUGGUGGUUCCGGCGCCCAUGUUGUCGUACAUAAUGACGCGGUUGUCGUCGACGAGGUGGGGGACGAGGUAUUUCCAGAUGGACUGAUCGGUGCCAAUGCCGUGGGCCAGGACUAGGACUUGCUGACCCGACCCUACGACCCCCACGUUGUAAGCUUCUUCCACUAUUCCCAUUGCGCCUCUCUCUUUCUUCUUGCUCCCUCUGUUACUUGUUGGUUUGGUUGACAAGUAAUAACUGGCACUACAUAUAUAAGAAUCCUGGUGAUAUGAUCAGGGGGGUACUGAUCAGUUACUGUUGGUGUACUGGAGCUUUCUGUAUUUUAUGGAGUUAUAUACACAAGACCAUCGAUUUAGGACAAAUAUAAGAACGCUAGUUGUAGCCUAGGAGAAUUGACAUGAAACAAGGACGUUAACGUGGUGGCGUUUUAAUCUUUUCUUGUGACGUAAGUUAAAAACACUUGAAUUUAUGGCAUUUUAAUCUGUUCAUACUUGAAUUUCUUCAUGGCUAUAAAAAAAUUUGAUGCCCUUCUCUCGUUGAGAAGACCGAUGCUUUUGUUUUUUUUUUUUAUAACCAUUUUUUUACCAAAAAUUCAAAUGUAAAAAAAAUUAAAACACAUAACACCAUGUUAUAAGGUUGACAAACAACGAAUUUAGUGUUCCCAAUUCAUAUUAGUCUACCUUCUGCCAAAGUCAUACCUUUUUUUAUUGACCAUCGUAGACUCAUACUUGAGGAUAGAGUUUGAGAGUCAAAAUCUUAGGUUCGUCUUUCUUAAAUGAAAAAACAAAUUGAUUAAUAUGUUGAAAUAAAAAUGUGGUUGAAGGCAUGAAGAUGGUGAGCUUAAUUGAUUAAUAGGCAGCUGUAUCACUUAAAUAUCGAUUUAUGACCAUUUUAGUUGUAUAACUAAGUUAAGCUACGAGACUAGUCAUAACUAGAUAUUGGAUUAUCAAACUCACUAUAAAUAUGUGUUGUACUUGCACUCGAGUUAGACCCGAGACCUCAUCUAAUAAAGUAAAGAACAACAACCGCUAAAUUCAAAGAUGGUUUGGUGCCGAUAUACAUAUUGAUUAGGCUUGUUUAGACUAAGUUUUGGUGAGUUUGAUUCUUUUAUCGAAGAAUCAUGCACCAUAUAAUCCUUACAACAUAUUGUUCCAAUAGUAUGAGAUGUGAGCUAUAUAUAUUAAUUGUGAGCUAUACCUUUUUUUAGUCAUUCUCUUGUUGGUCAAUUAUUGUAUAUUGAACUAAACAAUUUAAGUUUUGCUCUCUCCAAAAAGCUAUCCCUCUUUCAACCAAACCCUAGCCGUCAACCCCUUCGCUGCUAGCUUCUGGCUAUGGUUGGGGGCUGGCGGCAUCGUCUCCCCUCCCUUUCCUAGCUCUUCCUCCCUUCCUCUUCCCCCUUCUUCCCCAUCUUAACCAUCCUCCACCCCUUGCCAUUCUCGUUUCUUCCAAUCUCCUCAUUCCAACCCCUCAUUCCCGACCUUUCCCUUCCUUCUCUCCUAUCCCUUGCUUCUCUCCCACCAUUUUGGGUGUAUAUAUCCAUGGAUCUAUGCCCUAUACCUUGACCUGGGCCAUGCCCUUUCAAAAUUUUCUUUGAUUUGGCACUUGAUUUCCUAGUGUGGGGUUUAGAUUUGUGCUACAGGUGGGUAGGAUCCCCUCUCGUCAACUCGGUACCAUGGUGGUGUCACCCUUCUCGACGGCUUCGAUGCUCUUAGCUCUAGAGGAUCGGCUUGGCUUGGGAGCUUGGCAUGUAUGUCUUAUUGCGGCUCAGCUCGACUUGUGCGUGGACGCUGGCCUCCCACUGUUUGAAAUUUAUAAGUGGCCUUGGCAUGAGUGCCUCAUUCCCCUUGUUAUGAGUUGUACAUCAGAUCCCUUCUCGGUGUAGUAUAGUUCCUCUCGCCUUUAUGCACCGCAAUGGCUAUGGUGUUUUGGCUAAUUUGGUCUUCGCCUUUGUGCGUUGUGUAUUGUGAGUCUCGUCUGCUAACGAUGACUUUGACGUGGUCUCGCACUUUCACGAUGAGUUUUUGUGUCCUCGCUAUUCAACGAUGACCGUUGUGUCUGCUGGUAUCUCUCUGUUGCAGCUAUCGUUUAUUGUGACAGAUCUGUACUGGUAGUUCUUGUACGUUUGGCGCUUGUGUGGUUGUGUUUGUGGGUAUCUACUAGGGGUUUACUGUUAUUUGUCUAUUUUGUGCAAAUUCAUUCCAGAUCAAUUUACUGAUCACUGGAAUUAUGUACCCAAUGACACUCUAUAAUUGUUUGGUGUUGAUUAAUGAAAGACUAUGCUACUGUUUCUUGUCAAAAAAAAAAAAAAACUAAACAAUUUAAAUCACUAUCAUAGAACUCAAAAUUAUAACUCAGUGUAAAAGACUCUUUAUUCUAUAAAACUAGCACAAAACUCAAUUCUCGGGUCCACUAUGAAACAAUAAUUAUACAUUGUAUGUAUACAUUCUUUCGUAUCAAAGUUCAUACUAGGGGUGGGCACUUGAAACCGAAAACCGCAACCAAAACACGAACCAAAUCGAACCGCACCGAACGGUUUGGUUUUGCGGUUUCAAAACGGUUUCGGUUUGAAACCGAACCGAAUAGGGUAAAAACGGUUUGGUUUCGGUUUCGGCCCCGAAACCGAACCGAAACCGAAACCGCAUACCUGUUUUAAAUCUUAAAUUCUAUUGGUUAUUUUCAUUGAGUCCAUACAUUUAGUAUAGACUCAACCACAUCAUAACAUAACCCUUUAUUUUCUUUCUUCAAGUCCGUGCGUAGACUGCUCUUUUUUUCUCAACUUCAUCUUUAUUCAUCUCUCUCGGUCUCCACUCUGCGACUCUGCUGCACUCCAGACGCUCUCUCUCUCGGUCUCCCCUCUGGCCUCCUUUCCUCUUCAUUCCAGGCUUUCCAGCUCCUAGCUUCUAAAUUUCAAAGGUGCUAAUAUGGUAAGAACUAUGAUUUAUAACUUUUUUUAGUUAAAUUUACUUAUAGAUUUGAGAUUAAUUUUAGGGUUAGGUUUAGGGUUGGGUUUUGAAUCAAAAGGGGAUUUGGUUUUUCGUUGGUUAGUAUUUGAUUUUUCUUCGUUCAUGAACAUUAGAAUGUCAAUUGAAAGCAUACAUUUGCAUAUUGGUGACAUGGGAAUAAUGGGUAGAUAGGUUCCCGUUUCUGCCGAAUCUGCCCAGUAUAAUUUAUUAAUUUCAGUAAAUUUUUACACAAAAAAUUUAAUGUGCAAUUGUGCUGCGUGCGUGCAUACAUUAAUUUAGUUUUGAGAGAAGGGGGAGAGAGGUUUUGUGGCAGGGUUGGGAACGGUGGGGGUGGUGACUACCGGAGGUGAGAGAGACGCCGUGGCUUGGCUCUCUGGCUUUGUUGGGUACAUUGAUAAAGAUCAAAGAGGUUGGCCCCAUAGUCUUCAUACAUUCAAAUCCAAAAAAGUAAUGCUAGUGGAUGGCUAGCAGUGCUUACUGCAUUAGCGAACCCUUUUCCAUAUAGGGUUUAUGAUAGUUAAUUCUUUUUGGUUGAGCUUUAGUUUGAAGAAUUCGUGGUUCAAAAAAGUUAUAAUGCUAUGCUUUUGAUAUGACCUAAUCAAACAAAGAUAAAAUAUGAGUUUGAAGUCAUUUUAUCUCUCGUGAUUAUUAUACCUAUAGGAGUUUGAAGUCAUUUUAUCAAGUAUUCAAAUAUAUGAUGAGUUGUUCUCGGUUCUCCAAUUCCUUUUAACAAAGGAAAAUACUUAUAUGUCCGUUUGGGGUUAUUUUAUUGACUUACAGAUUAAUAAAAUACUUAUAUGGUGAAAGGUAUAGAAAAGCGAAGCAAGAGGCGAAGAAAGCUGUGAGAGAAGCUAAGUUAGCGGCUUAUGACGAUAUGUAUAAACGACUAGAUACCAAAGAAGGAGAGUUGGAUAUCUAUAAACUAGCUAGAGCAAGGGAAAAGAAGACAAGGGACCUAAACCAAGUGAGGUGCAUCAAGGAUGAGGAUGGAAAGGUUCUUGCUACAGAGAACGCGGUUAAAGACAGAUGGAAAUGCUAUUUUCAUAAUCUUUUCAAUGAAGGACAUGAAAGGAGUGCUUCUUUAGGGGAGUUGAGUAACUCAGAAGAGUGUAGAAACUACUCUUUUUAUCGUAGAAUCCGGAAGGAAGAAGUGGUUGUAGCUUUGAAGAAGAUGAAGCAUAGAAAAGCAGUAGGCCCAGACGAUAUACCAAUCGAAGUGUGGAAAGUUUUGGGAGAGACAGGUAUAACAUGGCUCACUGACCUUUUCAAUAGGAUUUUGAAAACGAAGAAGAUGCCAAAUGAGUGGCGAACGAGCACUUUGGUGCCUAUCUACAAGAAUAAGGGCGACGUACAAAAUUGCAUGAACUAUAGGGGUAUUAAGCUAAUGAGUCAUACAAUGAAGCUCUGGGAGAGAGUCAUUGAGCAUAGAUUGAGGCAAGAGACACGGGUUUCGGACAACCAAUUCGGGUUCAUGCCAGGGCGCUCAACCAUGGAGGCAAUCUAUCUCUUACGAAGAUUGAUGGAAAGAUAUAGAGAUGGGAAAAAGGAUUUACACAUGGUCUUUAUAGAUUUGGAAAAAGCGUAUGAUAGGGUCCCAAGAGACAUUCUUUGGAGGAUUUUAGAGAAGAAAGGAGUACGAGUAGCAUAUAUCCAAGCUAUAAAGGAUAUGUAUGAAGGAGCAAAGACUGCCGUAAGAACUCAUGAAGGACAAACCGAAAGCUUUCCCAUAACUGUAGGAUUACAUCAAGGCUCAUCCUUAAGUCCUUACCUUUUUGCGUUGGUAAUGGAUGAGUUAACAGGACAUAUUCAAGAUGAUAUUCCUUGGUGUAUGCUUUUCGCAGACGAUAUAGUGUUGAUAGAUGAAACUCAGGAAGGGGUAAAUGCAAAGCUUAACCUUUGGAGAGAAGUGUUGGAAUCUAAAGGUCUUCGCCUAAGCCGAUCAAAGACAGAAUAUAUGGAGUGCAAGUUCAGUGCAAAUGGAGGCCAAAACGAGUUAGGGGUGAGGAUCGGAGAUCAAGAAAUACCAAAGAGCGACCGUUUUCGUUACCUAGGAUCUAUCUUGCAAAAGAACGGAGAAUUAGAUGGAGAUCUCAACCAUAGAAUACAAGCUGGAUGGAUGAAGUGGAAGAGUGCAUCCGGCGUGUUGUGUGACCGCCGUAUGCCACUGAAGCUCAAGGGAAAAUUUUAUAGGACGGCAAUAAGGCCGGCGAUGCUGUAUGGCACAGAAUGUUGGGCGGUGAAGCAUCAACACGUACACAAAAUGGGUGUAGCGGAGAUGAGGAUGCUUCGUUGGAUGUGUGGGCACACGAGAAAGGAUAAGAUUAGGAAUGAGGAUAUCCGGGGUAAAGUAGGAGUAGCCGAAAUUGAAGGAAAGAUGAGAGAAAAUCGGUUACGGUGGUUUGGACAUGUGCAAAGAAGGCCUACUGACGCUCCGAUUAGAAGAUGCGACUAUGGACAGAGGUUCAGGGCCGAAGGGGUAGAGGAAGACCUAGGAAAAUUUUGGAAGAGACUCUAAGAAAAGACUUAGAGUACUUGGAUCUAACGAAGGAAAUGACACAGGACAGAGCACAAUGGCGUUCUAAGAUUCAUAUAGCCGAUCCCACUCAGUGACUUGGAUUUUCCAAGUCUCCAACCGAGAAGUUUUCCUCACUCGGGAAAUUAAGGGAACACUACCUCAACCUACAUGCUCCACUCACAAAGCUUCAACAAAAGAAAAUUCAAAGAACUUAGCGAAGAAGGCUUUGGUGUAUUUAACACAAUACGUUGAAAUGAAGGAAAGCUUAUUUAUUGAUAUCCCCGAUAAGCUACAAAUAUGUACAUAUACAUGAGUCAAAAUAAACAAACAAGAGGGAGCCUUCACAAAGGUUGCUUAGGAGAAGUCUCAGCAGUCGGUAGAGCCCCAGAAAGAGAAGGCACCGGAGGGGGAUCAUUCGGAGCCUCAGUACUGGACAGAACCCUAGAAGGAGGAGGCAUCAGAGGUUGAUCAUUUGGAGCUUCAUUACGCGGUACAGCCCCAGAAGACGAAGGCAAUAAAUGCCUUUGGAACAAACCCACAAAUCUCUGAUGAUCAAGUAAAACCUGACCAUCAGAUUUCCUUCAUCUGGUCAAGCUUCCUCUUCAUGUUUGUAGCAUAGUCAUGUGCGAGCCGGUGCAACUGUUUAUUCUCAUGCUUGAGCCCUCUAAUCUCCUGUUUGAGACUCAUCACUUCAGCCGCCAAUGAUUCAACUUGGCGGGUUCGAGCAAAUAGGCGUUGGGCCAUAUUAGACACAGAACCUGCACACUGAACACUGAGAGCCAGAGAAUCCUUAACAGCUAACUCAUCAGACCGUUUGGAAAGUAGUCUGUUAUCUUUGGGAGUGAGAAGGUUCCUGGCCACCACCGCAGCGGUCAUAUCAUUCUUCAUCACGGAAUCCCCAACGGUAAGAGGACCAGUAGGGGAGACGAAGGAUGGGCGCCAUAUGUUGUCUGGAGAAGGCGGGGCUGCCUCUUCAACAAGGUUCAAGUCAAAACGACGGUCGGAGGGGCCAGACAUUUUCAAAGGUGUUGAAGAGAGAAGAGGUCGGACAAAUCAAGAUCUUAGAAGUGCAAGAAUGGAGCUUCUACUGGUGGAGAUUCAAGUGUGCUUUGGAACUUAAUGCCAGCCCCUAUAAAAAUCUGCACUCGACGAAGCUUCAGAAAUCGAAGAGGCGCCUGCUCAGAAAUCGAAGAGGCGUUUGCUUUCUCAAAAGCUGGCUGCUGCUUAGAGACCACGAGGGUCGAUCUCAGAAAUCGAAGAGGCGUUUGCUUUCUCAAAAGCUUGGGCUGCUCAAAGACCACGAAGGCCGAUCUCAGAAAUCGAAGAGGCGCUCGCUUUCUCAAAAGCUGGGCUGCUCAGAGACCACGAGGGCCGAUCUCAGAAAUCGAAGAGGCACCUACUUUUCCAGCCUUGUCAGCACCUGUCACACGCACACUCAGCUUUGCGGAAAUUAUGGGCAUUCUGUCGAAGAUUUCUGGGAAGUAGAAAGCACAUGAAUCUUACUGUUCAAUCACCCACUUCCCACACGCAACAAUAGCUCAUGGGUACCACAGAUAACUUUGCCAAAGUUCUCUGACCAAAGUUGAGACACGUGAAGCUUGCAGCUCCCACUACAUCGCUCUGACCAAGAAGGGUAAAAGAAUAGCAAAGAAACAGCACACUAACAAAGUUUAGACACAUAAAUUUUGAAGGUCUAGCUACCAUAUUAUUACCCACAAGGGUAAAGGAACAGUACCACUGCUGGAUAAUUGGAAAGUCCCGGUGUGUCAACCUCUGUGCUUCGUGGCAAGGUAGACUAGCAAACAUGCCCAACCUUUACUCACAUUCGAGAAAACACUCCCAACAAGAUUGCUUGCUCCAAAAUCGAAGAGGCACCGCCCUCCGAAUCUCGAGAGCCAGACUCCCAACAUGAUUACUUUCUCAAAAAAUCGAAGAGAGGGUAAAGGAACAGUACCAUCUGCUGGAUAAUUGGAAAGUCCCUGUGUGUCAACCUCUGUGCUUCGUGGCAAGGUAGACUAGCAAACAUGCCCAACCUUUACUCACAUUCGAGAAAACACUCCCAACAAGAUUGCUUGCUCCAAAAUCGAAGAGGCACCGCCCUCCGAAUCUCGAGAGCCAGACUCCCAACAUGAUUACUUUCUCAAAAAUCGAAGAGAGGGUAAAGGAACAGUACCACUGCUGGAUAAUUGGAAAGUCCCUGUGUGUCAACCUCUGUGCUUCGUGGCAAGGUAGACUAGCAAACAUGCCCAACCUUUACUCACAUUCGAGAAAACACUCCCAACAAGAUUGCUUGCUCCAAAAUCGAAGAGGCACCGCCCUCCGAAUCUCGAGAGCCAGACUCCCAACAUGAUUACUUUCUCAAAAAUCGAAGAGACACCGCUCUCCGAAUCUCGAGAGCCAGACCCCCAGCAUGAUUGCUUUCUCAAAAAUCGAAGAGGCAUCGUUCUCCGAAUCUCGAGAGCCAGAUCCCCGACAGGAUUGCUUGUUCAAAAACCGAAGAGGCACCACUUUCCCAACUUCAAGAGCUGGAUCUCCUUGGAUAAAGCUUGUCUGUAAUCUUCACACGCAACAUCAGCUUUCCAGAUACCACAGACCACUUUUUCAAAGUGCUCUGACAGAGUUAAAACAUGUGAAGCUGGCAGCUCCCACUACCGUGCUAUGACCAAGCAGGGUAAAGGAAUAGCAUUACUACUUGUUGUUAGGGAGACUCCUAUAUAUGUCGACCUCCAUCCCCAACGGACAGGCAGACCUGCAAAAAUGCUCAACCCUUCCUCAUAUCUGAGAGGGCACUCCCAACGAAGCCUUUCGAAAUAUUCAGCUUUCUUUCCCCCCGAUAAUACCUCUGCAAACAAGCUAUACUAGAGCAAGAAUAUCUCAUAUCAUCAGGGUUAAAAGCAAGAGUAUCCCAUAUCAUGCUUUUUCCCUGUCUUUUCCUUUGGCCUUGUUCUUACCUGCAAGACAAGGAGAAAGAGAGCAAUCAGUCAGCACUUGGAAUCAAGCUUCCAGCCAGGAACUGACUGCCUGGAACCCCUUACCUGAUUACUUACCUGGCAUUGCUCUCGAGUACUCAUCUUCAACAUCUUAUGCUUCCAGGGAAGAUACCGCAUCUGCUUGAGGAACAGAUAGGGCAAGUGAGAAGGAUACAAGGAAGCAUGUGGAGACAAGCGUAACAGCACACGUGCCGAUACAUCCAUUACUCUGUCAAAAGCAAAAGUAUCCCAUAUCAGCAGGGUCGAACGUACUCUAGAUUUGAUGGACUUGUUUUGACCCUCAAAUUCUUCAGUCGGCCUUAUACUCUGGAGGAAACCAGAAAACCCUCCAGCUCCAGUUCAAGAAUAAGCCUGUGGAAAGUUACUUCUUCAAAAGCAAAAGUAUCCCAUAUCAUCUCUUCUCAUUUUUCUUCUCUUUAUCCUUCAUGCUGCCUGCAAGAUAGGGAGAAUGGUGAACAAUCAGCCGGAGCUCUGAUUGCUUACCUUGUCUGUCACCUCUUUCAGCAGAUCCCCUAGCUCGGCGACUUGGGGGACUCCUACUACAUGGUUUGUAUCGCGCUUGACCAAGCCUGAAACUACAAGUAAGCUUCAAGUGAAAUUGAUACAUUACCUUGUGCAUCUCCACCAGUUAAAGAUACCACCCCUGGAUGGAGGAAGAGUACUUCCAGAGAAGAUGCCACAUCUACCUAUGAGACAGAUAAGGCAAGUCAAGACGAUACCACACUCCGAUACUUAGAAGUUUCGUGAUUACGAGAUCAUUCUCCCACAAUAUUUCCUAAUGUCAUUUGUACUAAAUCAUUCACUUGUACUCACUAAAGGAGAGCUUGAACCUAUGUACUUGUGUAAACCCUUCACAAUUAAUGAGAACUCCUUCUAUUCCGUGGACGUAGCCAAUCUGGGUGAACCACGUACAUCUUGUGUGUUUGCUUUCCUAUCUCUAUCCAUUUAUAUACUUAUCCACACUAAUGACCGGAGCAAUCUAGCGAAGAUCACAAAAAGCGACCGUUUUCGCUACCUAGGAUCUAUCUUGCAAGAGAACGGAGAAUUAGAUGGAGAUCUCAACCAUAGAAUACAAGCUGGAUGGAUGAAGUGUAAGAGUGCAUCCGGCGUGUUGUGUGACCGUCGUAGGCCACUGAAGCUCAAGGGAAAAUUUUAUAGGACGGCAAUAAGGCCAGCGAUGUUGUAUGGCACAGAAUGUUGGGCGGUGAAGCAUCAACACGUACACAAAAUGGGUGUAGCGGAGAUGAGGAUGCUUCGUGGGAUGUGUGGGCACACGAGAAAGGAUAAGAUUGGGAAUGAGGAUAUCCGAGGUAAAGUAGGAGUAGCCGAAAUUGAAGGAAAGAUGAGAGAAAAUCGGUUCCGGUGAUUUGGACAUGUGCAAAGAAGGCCUACUGACGCUCCGGUUCGAAAAUGUGACUACGGGACAGAGGUUCAGGGCCGAAGGGGUAGAGGAAGACCUAGGAAAACUUUGGAAGAGACUCCUAAGAAAAGACUUAGAGUACUUGGAUCUAACGGAGGACAUGACACAAAACCGAGCGCAAUGGCGUUCUAGGAUUCAUAUAGACGACCCCACUUAGUGGGAAAAUGCUUUGUUGUUGUUGUUGUUGUUUGUUGUUUUUAAAACUCUAUAAUUUUAAUCAGUAGGUUCCAGAAAAAACACCCUCCAUAGAUUUGACGAAACAAGAGAGAAAAUGAAGAAAAUGUUGAAGGUGACCCAAAAAAUGAUGGAAAUGAAUCUGAAGGUGAAGAUGAUGCACAAGUAAGUAACUCUGAUUCAAGAAAGCGUAGUUGGGUUUGGAAGCAUUUUACAACAUACUAUGUGACGAAAAAAGUGAAAACAACCAAAAAGUGCUCUUCAAACUGCACUUGUAUUUUGGAUUUGUGAACAUGAAUUUAUUAACUUGGUUGCCUCAAGUUGAAUUAUUUUGUUGUGGUCCUUGAGGAUGUGAAUUUUGUUGUGAUCAACUAGGUAACUAUGAUAGUUUUUUUUUGGUACAUGCAAUGUAAUGCAAGGGAAAGCAGGUUGCAAUUGAGGCAAAAUUUGGUGUAGAGUAAAAGGCUGUGGGUUUAUGACAACAAAAUGGAAAGGCCCUGCCUUCGGCCACGGUUGUUCACUUUUAGUUUUAGCAGCACAUUGAGCACAGAGGUGUUUGUACUCUACUGGUCCAUAAAUGUUGUCCCAUUACACCAUCCUCACUUUGCUGCUGGACACGUAAUAGUCACAUAAUUAUAAAACCCACCAUCUUUUUUUCAAACAAUGAAACCAAACCGAAACCGUUUGAAACCAAACCAAACCGAACCAAAUGGUUUGGUUUCAUUUCGGUUUUAGCCUCAAAACCGCACCGAACCAAACCGUAAAAACUUGUGGUUUUGGUUUUGGUUUCACUCAAAACCCCACCAAACCAAACCGUGCCCACCCCUAGUUCAUACGUAAUACAUUCAAUAUUAUCUAUAUAAAAAUGUUGGAGAGUGAGCUAAAUCUAAUAAUAGACUAGCCAUAAUAAUUUGGUUCGAAUUUGCUUUGGACAAAAAUCAAACCUAAAACUCACACUUACAAAUGAAGAAAAUACCACUAACAGUGCCAUAGCUAGUUUUAGGAAAAGAAAAUUUGGAAUUUGGAUCUCAAACAAUCAACAAUCAUUAGCUAUUAUAUUUUGGCAACUGGAGAUAUCAACUCAAAGUGAAAGAGUUUCGGCCCCUAAUAACUGAUAGUACAUGUUGCAGGUGCAUCCAACCACCAGUAAAAAAAAAAAACCCCUUGCGCAGCAAAACACACAUCAUUGCCCAAAGUCACUUUGUGUGACAAAACUUUAAACUUCGUCGCGCAAAGUCUUGCUUAACGAAAUUAUAAACUUUGUUGCACAAAGUCUUUACAAAAAUAAAUAAAAUAAAAUAAACCCUUGCGCGACGAAACACACAUCGUCGUGCAAAGUGACUUUGCGCGACGAAACUUUAAACUUCGUCGUGCAAAGUCUUUACAAAAAAAAAAAAAAAAAAAAAAAAUAUUUUUUAAAACUUUGCGCGACGUAAUUCAAAUAUUUCGUCGCCUAAACCAAUUUAUUUUCAUUUUUUAUUUUGUACGUAUAACACAUAAGAAAUUGAACGGUAUAUAUAUUUAUUAAGUAGCUUUAAAUUUAUUAUUUUAGUUCUGAUCGGGUUUUUAUUAGAAAAAUAUAUUAUUGUAGUUCGGCUCGGAUUUUUGUUAGAAAAAUGUAUUUUAAAUUGACAAUCGAAUUAGUUCAUUAUAUUAAUAUAGGGUCAAGGAGUGUAGCUAUAAAAAAUCAUCAAAAUCGGAGUUGAAAUAACCGUUAAAUCGUGAUUUUUCGUUUAUAACUGUCGAAAAGUUUUAUCCUAAUCCUUCAUCUCUGAAUGAUUGUUUUUUGUUAUUUUUGGCGCAUAUGAUCUCGAAGUAUAUACAAACAAUUUUGACGGUUGAAUCGUCGAAACUAAUUUCAUAGAAUGCAUAUCUCAUCAAAACAAUAGAUUCACUAACACUUAGAGUUUAUGUAUACUUUCAUUAAGUAUAACAUAAGAUUUUGUGGUAUCCAUUAGUGUAAAUAUUUUAAAUUGAAGAUCGAAUUCAUUCGUUGUAUUCAUAUAGGGUUAAGGAGUGUAGCUAUAAAAAAUCAUCAAAAUCGGAGUUAAAAUAACCGUUAAAUCGAGAUUUUUCGUUUAUAACCAUCGAAAAGUUUUGUCCCGUUUCUUGAUCUCUGAAUGUUUGUAAAUUUUUGCUUAUGCAAUCUCAAAGUAUAUACAAACAAGUUUGACAGUUGGAUCGUUGAAACUAGUUUCAUAGAAUGCGUAUCCUAUCAAAACAAUAGAUUCACUAACACUUAGAGUUUAUUUAUACUUUCAUUAAGUAUAACAUAAGAUUUUGUGGUAUCCAUUAGUGUAAAUAUUUUAAAUUGAAGAUCAAAUUCAUUCAUUAUAUUCAUAUAGGGUCAAGGAGUGUAACUGUAAAAAAUCAUCAAAAUCGGAGUUAAAAUAACCGUUAAACCAUGAUGUUUCGUUUAUUCAUAUAAGUGUAGCUGUAUACAUGUGUCGUGCAAACCAAUUUAUUUAUUUUUUUUAUAUUAUAAAUUUUAAAAUAUAUUUUUUUUCAUAAGUUUUUAUUAUUUUUUUUAAAUUUGCACGACGAAUAUCAAUAUUUCGUCGCCUAACUGAUGCAGCAAUCAAAAAGAAAAUCAGUUGAUUAAUAAUCUGGGUACCGAUCCUCAAAUGGAGAACGAAUGUUAAAACAAAAACACACAAAAUGCAUAACUUUUCCUUGCAGAUUUGUUGAUUGUCAAAGACAAUACCGAAUUUCACAAAUCCUAAACCUCUUGUUGAUUCACUAAGAAUGCCAAGAAGUUUAUCACACAAACGUUGUUGAUUCUCUGCACAAGAAUGGCCAAUGAUCGUUCAGGUGUCUAUACCUCAUUAUUUCCGUUGGAAUAUCCGAGUUGAUAGAACAAGAACAAAAAUGAUAUAACCCUCUCAAAUUGCACUCAAUUUUCAAUUCAAUUUAUCAUAAUCUUCCCCUAGAAUACAAAAUACUCAUGAUUUAUAAAAACUCUAACCCCCUCUUAAUAAUUGCUGAUACAUGCAUCAUUACUAGAGUUAAUGAACUCAUUAAGAUUAACCCCACUUAACCUACCCCACUAACAUAUAUUUAUUACAUUAAAUAAAGAUUGAGUCAUCUAACAUCACUAACCAUUAUUUACUUAUUUUUUAUUUAUUUUCAUAUUUUAUAUUGUUAAACUAAUUUUAUUUUUUUCUUUGCUUGACGAAUACACAUUUGGUCGCCUAAACCUUAUUUAUUUUAAUUUAUUUAUAUUUGUAAUUGUAAAAUAAAAUUAUUUUCUUUUUUAUUAUUUAUAAAAAUUAUUUUUAUAAAUUUUGCGUGACGAACCAAAAUUUCAUUGCACAUAAUCCUUAAAUUUGGACUGGAGCCUAAAAUGGGCACGAUAAUUUUUUAAGACUUUGCGCGACCAAUAUUUCGUCGCGCAAAACUUUUCGCAACCAACACUUCGUCGCAUAAAACUUUGCAUGACCAACACUUCGUCGCGGAAAACUCUAAAAAUUUGGGUAGGCACCAAAAAUGAGACGCGGGAAAUUAUUAUUUUUUUUAAUUUUUUAAGACUUUGCACGACCAAUAUUUCAUCACACAAACUCGUAUCCUUCGUCACGCAAAGUGAUAUUGCUUUUAAAACCAAAAUAACUCUUCCACCAUUUUCUCAAUGUCUUUCUCUACUCUUACCUCUCCUCUUUCUUUCCCUCUCCCCAAAUUCGACCAUCCCUCUCACACUCACUCCUCUAACUUAAUCUCUCUUCUCUCUCUUCACUAUCUCUCACUCUCGCUCUCUCGCUCACUCUCUCACCUCUCUCUCACUAUCUCAUCUAAUACUCUCACACUCACUCCUCCAUCUCAUUCUCACUCACUCUCAAUCAAGGUAUUAAAUAUCGAUGAUAUCGGAAAUAUUGGUAGUCUGAAAACAUGAAAAUAUCGAUGGAAAUAUCAGGAUAAUAUCGAUAUCGAUAAAAAUAAUAUGGAAACCACGGAAAUUGUAAGAAAAACUUGGAAGGAAAUGCAUUGCAUGAUGGAUUUAACUGAUUUAAAUUGAUUACAUAGCAAGCUGACAAACAUUGUGAGGGUAGAAAAUAUUUAGUGAUUUUAUUUUAAUAUUCUUUCUCUGUUUUGAACGUUGGUCCGUGGGACCAACCCACGUGACCCACUCUCUUGGUUUCUCUUCCCCGUGUAGUCAUCAGACUCAAACACUCCAUCUCUCUCUCCCUCUCUCUCUUUUGUAAAGUUUUUCUAUCAAUCAUUUUAAUAUUUUAUUUAAUUUUCUACUCUUAAUUCGUGUGCCUUGAUCUUGGUUUUGUCAUCCCUUUUAUAUUUUUAUUUACUUUUCUUUCUUUCUCCAUACCAUCUUUUCCUAUCCCCAUUAAAACUCUCACUUUUAUCACUCUCACUCUCUACCAUCUUUUCCUCUCGCAGCCUCCAGAACCUUUCCUUCCAGUGUAAAAAAAACACAACCCUAGUCUCCACUUCUCUUAUAGCCGAUCCUCAUUCCAGCUUCUCUCAUCUCAAAUCUUCGAGAAUAACUCCUAUCUUCCUCACAUCAAACCACACCGAGCCCAGCCUUGCUAUCUCAAAUCCAAUAAUCAGACCCCACCCUCCGUUCCGCUGCCAUAACUCGAAACCAAAAGGUCAGACCCAUCAACCUCAGGUUUGAUAAAUCAAACCCAAACCCUCUCGCCUUGUGCUUUCGUUUGCUACCUAGAUCGGGGUCUAGGGUGGUAGUUUGCAGUCAGCCGGAGCUGUAGAAGCUCUGGCGUUCUUCUCUGUUCUUCCCUGUUGAUUCCUGACGAGCGCAGGCAUUUCAGGCCGUUUCCUAUAACCCUCGGGCCUUAGGCCUGUUAUGAAGGUGGAGCGAUAUUAUCGAUAAUAUCGAUAAUGUCGCGAUAUUUUGACGAUAAUUAGGUGGAUAAGUGUCAAAUAUCGCCCUCUCACAAAAACGAUAUUAUCGGCGAUAUUUCGCCAAUAAUAUCGACAUUUUAGACCAUGCUAUCAAUCUUUCCAAAAGGUAUAUUCUCCCCAAAUUUUAAUUUUUUUUCAUUAAUAUGUGUUUUUGGAGUUAGUUUUGAGUUUGGUGUGGAGUUUGGGGUUGAGUAUAGGAUGAGGAGUAGAGUUUGGGGUCGGAUUUAAGGUAUACCAAUUUUAGGGGAGAUUAUGCCAAUUUUUUGUUAUUUGACCAUAUUUUUUUUCGUAGGGAAUCGUGGAGACUUUGACAGCUAAAGUUGAGGAUUAGGACGCUAUCGAAACAUAUCCCCCGCCACUACCCCCCACAAGAAACUUGUGUUAGGAUUUUAUUAUUGUACUUUGUUAAUUUAUGUGUACAUUUUGAAUAUAUUAUAUAUAUUGGAUAAUUUGAUCACUAUUUUGAAUAUGUAAUUCUAUUUUGAAUAUGUCAAUUUAAAUUAAAGUAAUUAAAAAACAAAAUCAUACAAUUAAAUUAAAUUAAAAAAGUAAAAAUUCGAAAAACCUUGCGCUACCAAAUAUUUCAUUGCGUAAACAAUUAAUAUAAUUAAAUUAAUAUAAGAGAAAUAAUAAAACAAAAAGUCAAAAACCUUGCGCGAAAAAAUAUUUCGUUGCACAAAAUAUUAAAUUAAUUUAUUUUAAUUAAAAAAUUUUAAAUUUAAAAUAUCGUUGCGCAAAGCUUUGCACAACGUUAAUCUUCGUCGCACAAACCAUAUCGUCACGAGCUUUGUGAGACAAACCAUGCGCGACCAAGAUUUCGUUGCGCAAGGUUUUGAGCGACGAAAUUGUUCUAUGCGCAACAAACUUAUUUCGUCGCGCAAAGUGUUUUUUUGUAGUAGUGGACUUAAAGGUUUUUUUAUUUUUUUACAAACGAUAUUACAGUACAAGAUGAAAGAGUGAGUUAAACAUCACAAUAGGCUAGCAAUAAUAUGGUUCAAAUUCGUCUUUAGCGAUAAUCAAAUAUAAGAUCUCUCACUUAAAAUGAAGAGGAAUAUCACUAAACUGUAAUACUAAGUGACAACAGACACGAAGUUGAAGAGUGGAGAAAACUACAAAUCCAAAGAGAGACUAUGAAAAUUGUAUUUGUUUAAUAAUAAGCAAAUUAGUGAUGUAAGUUUUGGUGAUCUUGAUUGUUGAUGGUCUACAUCUGGUUUUAUGCGAGAAAACCGGGUACCACAGGUGCAGCAGACGGCGGCGAAAUGCCAUGGCAUAAGGGCAGCUAUAGUUAUGGCAAACUUUUUGCCACAUCUACACUGAUUGAGUAUUCUUCAUUUUCUUUUCUCUUUACUAAAAAAUUGCUCCCUAUAGAUAAUUAGAUAUUCCAUCUAUAGAGCUGGUACAAUGGAUCCCUUCCAAAAAUUUCAUAUGCUUCUAUUUUCUAAAUAAUCAUCAUGCAUGACUUACGUUGCCAGAAUGUAACUGACACACCCCGACUUAAAUCAGGGCAUGCUGGCCGUCACAUGGGAGUGACGUAACCAUGUGCACAGUGCGGAAACAAUAGAUAUAGAGAAAUACGAGAGAAUAAAAAGAAAAUCAACUAGAGUACUAGCUAAGAUAGAGUGCUAGUGCAAGAUUAAGUGUGAAAUACACAACCAGAGCAUAAAUAGUCUAAGUGCUGUCAAGCAGGACAAGUACUAAUAACACAACACCCGAGGGUGAUCCUACAUGGUGAUGUUCUGUCAGUACCCCCAUCAGAAUCCUUGUGAUCCACCAAAACACUUCUACCUAAAACCUGGAGGGGCACAAAACAGAAAGUGUGAGUAGACAAAAACAAAGCUUUUCCAAAAUCAUUUCAUUCUCAAAGUUCUAACUCCUCGCCGUAAAACCUGUAUAAUUUCCCAGAAAAUAAUAAUCAUAAUAAGUUGUGUCCGAAAUCAUACUCAAGAUGAAAAUCCAUAGAAGUAUACCAUGCCAAAGUAUCUCAAUGCAAUGCUAUAGGUAAACCAAGCAAAAUAUAUAAACGUCAAAUAUCGCAUCAGCCAAAUCUCUCUAACUCAAACUACACUACUGAGUAUAUAGCUCAUAACCAAUCUCAAUCAUAUCAAAUCAAAUCAAAUCCUGCACACGAGUCGGAACCACCUACAGUGGUCAAUAUGACAAGACUAGGUGUAAAGUAAAUAUGCUCUAGUGCUACGAUCAUGUGAAGGCUAUGCGAAUGAUCGCGGGUCACCUACGAGUCAAAACCACCUAAAGUGGUAUGUACGACAAGCCUGUGCACCUAACUUGGAUCCAAGGUAAACAUACGGUGUGAGAGGUGAGUAUCACGUGAAGGACUGUGCCCUAACUAUGGGCGGGAGCACUAACACCGGGUGCAAGUUUAUGAGCUCUCAUCACAUCACAUCAUCUCGCAUAACUGAAUUAAUCUCACAUCUUUAAUUUAUAAACUUACCUGGCACUUCCCUGUGCGUUCGCAACACCAAUCAUGAAUGUAUGCAACUACUAAUGCAUAAUUAAAAUAGAUAGAUACUUACAUGGCAUUUUCAAAACAUAUAUUCAUUUAAACAUAUUUUCUGGGAAAAAUCUCAAGUAUAUAGGUAUAUACGGAAAACCAAAAGCCCACUCAUUGGUAUGUCAAAGGGUCAUAGCCCCUGAGCCUCAAUUAAUGGCGUUUGUCUUCAGGAUAGGUCUCACCUAUAUGCGAAAUAACUAAAUAAAUGUUAUUUAAAGCACAUAACCAAAACUAGGUAAUAACUUCUCAUACAAUGCUCAAAUGGGGUAUUUGAAUAUACCACCAUGACCUACUCAACCUCAGGAACAUCGCCAUAUUUUUAGAAUUUUUUUUGGAGUUGUCACGAGCCGUCACGUGUCGGCGAAGGCACGGCCAGGUGCGUCGCCCAUGCGUGGGCACGUGCCAGGCACAUUGACGGAACAGUUAACGCUGUUACGGAAUAUUUCGUCAAAAGUAGCAUAUUCCGUUAAAACUAACCUAACACUAUUAGAAUAUUCCGUCAUAUUCUUUGUCUUCUUCCUUCGAACUCCGAUGACUGUCGCCGUCGUUGGAAAAUUGGGAAAUUUUCAAACCUUAAUAUCUCAGUCCAUACACAACCAAAAUCUAUGAAAUUUGUACCAAAAUGAAGCUUACAACGAGUAGAACAAAACCUUACCUUUCAAAAGUCCUAAAACUAACGAAAACUCAUUGGAAAAUCCCUCGAUAAUCCGGCUAAACCUGCAACUCGUCGAAACUCAACUUCCCGACGUCCAAAUCACAUAAUUUUUCUUUUCCGAGCUUCGUGAAGACGAUCUAAAGCUUCCUAUAAUCUUAUAAUCUUUCAAAAACUCCACAUUUAUGUGUGCAUGAACAGUACUUCAAAUCUGGGUUUCUAAUUUUCGGGUUUUCUGACAGCUUCGCGUCCUAAAAUGGUACCACUCGACUCCUAAGAUUGUAAGAAGUCCAAAGACACCAACCAAAACCUCGAUCGGCGACUAGUUGAAGGGUUUUGAGGUUUGUACGGAAAUGGAAGGAAAUCCGAGAGGGAGAGAGAGAAAGGGGCAACGGGUUUGUUUGGGUCACCAACCAAAAAUGAAAGGAAACUUAGUCCUAAUUGGGUCCAAACAGUUUGGACUUAAGAUAAUUGGCCUAUUUCAUAGAAUCACAAUCCAACGCUCAAGGGCAAAAUCGACAUUUCACCCCAUCGAUAAAAAUAAUUCAUGACGGGCUGUCACAGUAACGGUCUAACUUAAAAUACAUAUUCAAGCAACAAUCAAUGAGAUCUCAUUAUUGAGUUUUUACAAAAGUUUAGGAUAUAACAUAAAAGUGAUUAAUGAUAUGAGGAACAAUACAAUUCUCUAAGGCUAUCUCCACCCGAAGGGUGCAAAGGGCCAAAGGUCCGAAAAUAGCCCGAAAAUCGUCUCCAACCGAGGGCUAGGCCAGAAGGCUCAUGGGCCCCAUGAAAUCUGAAAUGGCCAAAGGGUUGGUUGGAAUUUUUUGCUUGCUGUCGGUUAUAACCGACAUAAAUAAAAGAAAUAGUGUCGGUUAUAACCGACACAAAUAGCAUGGAAAUUUUUUAAUCUAACGACUAUUAGACAGAAAUAGUGUCGGUUAUAAUCGACACAAAUAUGAAAUUUUUUUAAUAUAACGGCUAGCUGACAUUAGCUAGCCGUUAUUUGUUAUUUUUUAUAUACUUUUACAUUUUUUUUUGUUUUUUGAGCCAUUUUUUUUAAUUCUUAAAAAUUCUAUUUUUUUCCUAUAAAUACCUAAACCUUUCAUUAAAUUGAAGUUCUAUUUUUUUUGUUUUUUGGGCCAGUUACCAUUAUAGUUUUUAAAUUUAAGUUGUUGGAUUUGAAAUUAAGUUGUUGUAGUUUUUAAAUUUAAAUAAUAAAUUAUAUUUGGCCCUAUGACCCUUUGGCCCUCGGUUGGAGAUGGUUUUUUGUGAAAUGGCUAAAAUGAGCCUUAUGACCCUUUGGUCCUCGAUUGGAGAUGGAGGCAAAUAUGGCCUUGUAUUGUUCAUUAAAAUAUUAAUAUCUUGGAGGGCCAGAUGGCUAAAACGAGCCAUCUGGCCAGCCCACGGUUGGAGAUGGCCUAAUUGGCAAUAUAGGUAGUAGUUCAAUUUUGUAUAAGCACAUACAAGGUCUCUUAUCUUCCUAGUGUGACAUUGGUACCUCAACACGUAAGUCUAACACGUAAACAACACUUAUUUAUUAUGUAGAGCACCUGUGACAUACAACAUCCUGCUUUGAAUGAUAAAAAAAAUUAAAAUUUCACUGUAAAACUAAUUGAUUGGGGGGUCCCAAAUGAAUUGCCUUAUUCGAAAAAAGCCUUGUUCUUUGGAAGAUAUUCUGCAUGGUUCCACUUUGCAAGAACUUCAAACUGUCCUUGAAUAUUAAUAUGUAUAUUUUCAUAAACAAAAAAAGAAAUAAUUUUUUUAUCUUAAUUAAUUAUUUCUGAGUCACCGGUUCUUAUUUAUUUUCUUUUGAAUUUUGUGGACAAGGGAACAUACCUCAGACCGAUCAACCCAUUAUUGUGGAGUUUAUUGGGAAAAUAUUGAAUUAAAGUCAUUCAUGUGUGCCGAUAUCCUUAUGGUUGACUUAACAAUUGAUCGACAACUUAGUAGGCCGCUCUGGAUUUGAAUCAGCGUAGACAUAUUGCGAAUGAAUUUACAAUGUCCCCAUUAACCACUCACACAUCAACCCAGGAAGAUUCAAUUCCAGGCUUAUUGAUCAUCCACGAUCAACUUUCUUUCGUAGUGCCCUACCCAAGAGGAAGUCAAAUCCCAUCUGCCUCUUUGAAAGAAAGAGAGAUGUACUGAACCAUGAAACGACAAUAUAAAAAGUAACUAGUAUAAACAUGGGCAAAAUUCCUUAUUUUCCGACAUGAGGUUGAUGCUCUCAAAAAAAAAAAAAAAACCCCUAAACUUGUAAUUUGUGGGAAGGUCUAUGUUUUUAGAGAAAAGAAAAAACAAUGGAUAUAACUAUAUAUUGUAUGAUGCCACUUGUAGGUUGUAGCAUGUCAAAUUCGUAUCAACUCUUUGUAUUUUUUUUUUUUUUGAAAAGCAACGAUAGAAAAUUUCAUUAAUCAAAAGGGUUGAAUACGGCAAGUACAAACAGGGAGAGGAGAGAGAACUCCCUUCACAACAACUAUCAACCAUUACAUUCCAAUACAUAAAGGUCAACCAAAAGAUCCGGCGAUUCCUCAAAUCAAGGCCGGAGAACCUCACAGUUAAGGGCAAGUUUUGCAAGGCGGUGGAUCAUCUCAUUAGCCUGUCGUUGAACAUGGGCUGAAAAUCUCUAGUGAUCGUAGACAACAGAGCUUUAGCAUCUUCAAUAAUACGACCAAUGAUUGAUCUAUUAAUUGAAGACUCGCAUAAAGCCAUCACAAUCUGGAGGACAUCACUCUCUAAAAUGGAUCUAUUAUCAAACUAAUAUCGUGGUUAUUUUUAUUUUGUUUGGUUCAGUCGCCGUUUAACAUGCACCUAUUAUCAAACUAGCAUAUGUUUGCACACUUUGUGUGCGUUAAUAUUUGUUUGUUUGUAAAAUGGUAAGGAGAUAGGAAGUGAGAGAACGUGUGAGUGGAAAGAGAGGUUUUUGUUUUUUAUUUUUAAUAUUAAAUAUAUGCUAAAAUCACUUAUAGGUGAGACUUCACUAAAAAAUAGCAAAAUUUGGUUUUGUGAAAUUAGAGUAUUGCCCAUUAUUUUUUCUAUGAUAGAAUAUUAAAGGCUUAUUAUAUUAACACUCCACAAAUUAUUGAAUAAACCUCAUAUAUUUAAUACACUCCACAUUUGUUUUUUCAAUGAAAAAUUAUCUUAAUACACCCCACAUACUUCCCCAUAAUACCCUCACACCUCACAUUCAUUGUUUACAUGCACCCCAUAUUUUCUAUACACCCCACAUUUCUCAAAUCUUAUAAAGCUUUUAAUUUGGACAAAAAAUGUCGACUGAAAUUUUGACAAAAGAUACCGCCUGGAAUUUAAAGCAUAUGUGGGUUGUUUUUAAUUCCACCAUUAAAACCCAUGUCGUCUGUUUUUAAUAUUUGGUGGUAAUUGUAGGUGUUUAAUUCUUCAUGUAAUCUCUGUGAUCCCUAAAAGAUGAAUACGAAUAUAGAAGCUUGAAUAACAGCAAAAGCAAGAUUAAAUAAUUAUCGUUGUCGUCAAAAUCACUAAAACAAUAAAGAAUAUGAAGUCUUACCUCAUGUGAAGCUUCUGACAUCGAUUUCGUGUUUCAUUCAUCAAAAAUAAUUUAUUUUCAAUCAACAUGUUUGUAGUUUCAUUGGUUAGGGUUUUGUUCAACAAUGGAGGGUCAUAGGGAUUUUGGUAGUUGAAGAAGAUAAAUAAUACGUUAAAAGUGAUUUGGGGUAUAUUUAGAAUUUUUUUUUAAACCUAAUAAGGUCAAAAUUGUCAUUGCAUAGAAGGGUAAAUAAAUAAUUUAAUAUUAAAUUUUAAUGUGGGUUGCAUUCAAAAUUUUGUGGGGUGCUAAUAUAUAAAAGUUUUAUCACCCUUUUUUGUUGACAAAGAGAAUUCUAUAAAUAGGUUGUUUAGAUAAAUAUUUUAGAUCUCUAUCUCAAUAAGUACUAAAAAUUUAUAAACCUAUUAAAUUAAAAAAUAUUCACCGACAGACUCUUAACUUGAGGAUUUAAAUUAUAAUCUCAUAACUGAGCGUUUUACUCCCCAAAAAAAAUAUGGAAAUUGUAUUAAAUUUUUUAGCCCUUUUGAUAUAGAUGCCUCAAUUUCAAUUUUUUUGAAUCAAACAUCUACAGCUUUUAAAAUUUUGAUCAAACAUUUUUAUACUAAUUUUUUAUUAAAAAUGAUGAUUUUUACUAUAUUUAAUGACUUAUUAUAUUAGCACCCCACAAAUUGUUAAAUAAACCUCACACACUUAAUACACAUCACAUUUACUUUUUCAAUUAAAAAUGAUCUUAAUACACCUCACUUCCUUCCCCAUAAUACCCUCACACCCCACAUUCUUAAUAUACACCUUACAUUUUCUAUACACACCCCACAUUUCUCAAAUCUUAUAACAGUCAUUUUUUAUUUUGCCGAAUGAUUUCAAACCAUCUAAACUGUAGUUUGCCGAAUGAUUUCAAAUUGAAUGAUUUGAAAAAAUGUUUAGGUUCAUUUGAAUGUUUUUCAAUAACAAUAAUAAUGAUUUCAAAGCUUUCGAAACACCAAUUUUGUGUUCCAUUCGUCAAAAAUAAUUUUUCUUAAUCAACAUGUUUGUAGUUUCAUUACUUAGAGUUUUAUUCAACAAUGGAGGGUGUGAAGGGUUUUGAUAGUUGAAGGAGAUAAAUAAUACGUUAAAAGUUAAUUUUAUUAUUAUUUUUUAAACCUAAUAAGGUCAAAAUUAUCAUUGCAUAGUAGAGUAAAUAAGUCAUUAAUAUUAAAUUUUAAUGUGGGGUGCAUUCAAUAUUUUGUGGGGUGCUAUCACUAAUAAGGUCAAAAUAAUACGUUAAAAGUUAAUUUUAUUAUUAUUUUUUAAACCCAUUAAUUCGCAAAUUAAUAUCACAAAUCUCCUAGAACCACAACAAACAUCUUCUCGUACCACAAUUCAUUUGAAAAGAAUUUUUUUUAAACUCAAAUAAUUUUUUUAUUUGAAUUCUAAAAAUACUCAAACAUCAUUUUAACAUACAAUUAUGAUAUACUAACAGGAUCCUUUUCGGAUCAUUUUGAUGAGGAUCCUGGAGAUCCGUGAAUUGUGUUCGUUCAUCAUACAUCGUGCAGUUAGUUUUUGUUAAGUACUAUUUGUGUUUAAUUUUAAAUAAAAAUAUUUAAAAUGAUUUCUGACCGCUGUACGAUGAACGGACAUGAUUCACGGAUCUCUGGAAUCCUCAUAAAGAGGAUCCAGCAAGGACCGGAUUUUAUGAGAUAUAACAUGCACAUAUAUUAAAUAUAACGUACCAAAUGAUUGGCACAUUAUAUAAAUUUUAUUUUGGUACAUAUUAAUAUUUUGGUACGUUAUAAAAUAUUACUUUGGGUACCUUAUGCAAUUCUUUAUUUGGUACGUUGUGUUAUCCUUAUUUUGGUACGUACCAAUUUAUCGGUACGUGUUGUGUUAUCCAUAUUUUAAGUGUAAAAGAACUCUUUUUUUUUUUAUAAUCUAUAUAAAAUGCUGAGUUGAAAAUUAAAAAAAAAAAAAUUAUAUUCCAUCCAAUUAAUCUUCAUCUGACUAGAUAUAAUUGAAUCCUUAAGUUGAGGAAGAGAUGAGAUUUCAUAAAAAUAGCAAUAAAUUGAUUAAUAUUAUUGAGUGCAUUUUUUAUAUGAAAGUGAAUUUAAAAAAAACAAACUUAAGUUAAAAAUAUACCUGGAAUAUAGCGUUUAAUCAAAAGUUAGAAAGUAACAAAUGUUUAAUCUAUAAAUGUCUAAAACGAGGUAUCUAAUUCAUUUAAGUUUAGAUAAAAUAGUUACAAUAAAUAAAACUUAAUCUCAUACCUCAAUUCAAAUUGUGAAACUUUUAUAUCUCAUAAUGCACAUAUCCUGUCAAAGAGAAAUGCUAGGAGACUUUUUCAAAGUUUCAAUGAAGCUUAAAAAGAACGUUGGAGUGGGCAGCAAUUGAAGCGUCCGAGUGUGGCUUGGCGGAAGAAGCUCUCUUUGCUCGCAACAAUGGUGAUGACGCGUACAGCGGGAAAUUGGAAUGGACGUGGAUUGUCGACAAAAUUCUCUGGCGAGUUGCUUUCCCCCUCGUGGAUCCCAAGACUAUGAAGUCUCUAAUGACCUAGAUAGUGCGAUCCCGUUCCCUGUGGACGCAUUGGGGCUGGAUUUGAACCUCCCCCAACGCCAAAGGAUAGCUCAAGGCAGAGUUGUUCAAAACAUGCCGCAAGUUUUGUAUCCAUGGCAGCGGAAAAAGAGGAAAACGCCGAAGAAAUCAACGCGUGAAUCAAUUGAGGAAGAAUCGCAAUUGAUGCUUUGAGGGCAGCUAUACGAGCCUCGAUGGACGAAAGACUUGAUGGUUGGGUGUGGCGGGCGUGCACAGGAGGGAAACCAGGAUUGGAGAGGGAUAAUAUCAUUGAUACGAUGCGAUUCUCAAGCCUUAAACAGGAAUUACUUACUUACAACCAAUUAAACGCCCUAAUUGUAAUUAAGGCAAACACAACAAUACAACACAGUUCAUAUCAGGAUGGCCUUGGACCCGUCAUGUGAGCUGCAGAGUUUGGCGAGUUCUGCUAUAUCGGCGACUUUGGCUGCCAUUUCUGAGUCGCCGGAGCAAGGGAUCGGGAUAGCGCGGGGUCUGUGAAAGUCUCGCGUUUUGUCACUUUCUGUGUGUUUGUUUUGUUUUGUGCGUUCCCUUCUUCGCUUUGACGACUCCAGCAUGAGGGGUUAAAGAGGGGUAGGGGUAAAAUUGGGAAUAGGAAAAAAGAAAAAGUUGAAAACUGAGAAGGGGACGGCUAGAAAGAGAGGAAUGGCUGUGAGCACUAGGGUGAAACUAACGUUUAAUAGCGUCUACGACGGUGAUGCGGUGGUGAUGGUCUCGACGGUAGUGAUGGAGGACGAUGGUGGUGAAUUGGUGGUUCUGCGUUCGGUGAUGUCAGCGAGGAGAGAGAGGAGUGGGAUUUGGGAAUCGAUUGAGGAGAGAUAGGAGUCGGAUGAAAGUUUCUAGAGCAUUCGAGUAGUAAGCCCACAUGGGCCAUUGUAUUACUUUUUAAAAACAAUGUGGGGGUGUUUGUUUGACCUCCUUAGUUUUCACUGGACUUAGUCUAGUCUGAUGUUUGUUGCUCUGCAGGAUUAACAUUAAUGGGAUAAAAGAGGACUCGCCUCGACUAAGGACAGCGCUAGGCGGUCUUAGCGAGCCCCCCCCCUCGCGCAUACCAUAGGACUGGCUAAGAAUUAGCUUUGUCCUCCUCACUUCGCUCUCUGCUUCAUCAUCUCUCGCGUCCUUUCUCUUCCUCCUCGCCUUGAACCCAAAAUCACAAACUAACAAGACCUCAAAUUUGAAUCUCAAUCGGAGAAUCCAUGAGCUGCGUCAUCUGAUUCACCUCGAACCCAAAUUAGACAAGGUCGUCGAUCGCACAUCCGUCCUCCUGGACCUUGAUUUUCGACGGCACGGCUCUUCUCUGUGAGAGUAUCUCAACCAUGCGGCCAUGCCCAUCUCAGCAGAAGCUCAAUCAGGUCAGAAUUUUUUUCAUUUUUCUUGUGAUUUUCAGAAAAGGCACAGAUUGCAUGGGUGAUUUGAGUUUUGCGUGAAUGGGUUUUGUUUAAAAUGUUUUUUUGUUGUCAUUUGGAGUAGGUGAUGAGAAAAAGGCUAUGUGAGAUUUGUGUAUCACUAUCAGAGAGAGGGGAUUAUCCUCCCAGAGACCUCCCACUCCUGUUUUUUGGGGGAAGACGGUAGUACUGAGAAAAAGAGGGAGAGGGGAGGGAGUCAAUGGGCGAAGAUAAAAAUGAAUCAGGGAAGAAGAUGAUUCUAGCCAAAUGAUAAAAUAAUAAUAAAAGAAUUAGUAGAUUAGAUUAAAUUAAUGAUAAAAUAUUGUAUAUAUAGAUUUAAUAAUAUAAUAUUAGAGUUCUGCUUCUUAAUCCGGCACUGUAUCAAACGCUUCACUAAGUCAGUUCAGCUUAGUCUAGUCUAAGCCAAUCCAGCUUAGUCCAUGAAGCUAGUCCAGUCCGAGAUAGUCCGGUGCAACAAAUGCACCCUGUAAGUAUUGUUUAAUGCUUAUUUUACGAUAAUUUAAAUCCAUCCAAGCUCCUGCCUAGAUCUCACCUAGGCACCUAGCUGCUAAGUCUCAGUCCGCUGUUUGACUAGCGCCUAACAUUUUUUAGGAUAUAAUCCUAGCCAAUUUAAGUUUCUUACAUUGGCUUUGAUAUUAUUGCUUACAACCACUUUGGUGGAGAGACUAUUUUCUUUUAUGAAUAUUGACUCAAAACUUUGCACUCUCCAAUAUAAAAGCUACCGCUUCGAUUGAACCUUGCACUCUUUUGAAUUUCACCCCUCCCCUCUGCAAAUUAUGGCUUUGCCACUGCUAGGGUGGGCACAAAAAUCGCCAAACCGUAGAACCAAAUUGAAUUAUAAACAAAUAUAUCGAGUCGACUAGGAAGAAGUGAAGCCGCUCCUAAGAUUUGGAGCAUAAGCUUUUGAUCUUUCCAAUCGUAGUCGACCAAGAAGGAAGAAGUGAUGGAGUAAAGGGUGAGUGCUAUCCCACAUGUCAAAAGGAAUGUGGCGGGAAUGCAAUAACAUGAACUUAAUAGGAGCAAAAUAGAAAAAACACUGUGCUUAUGAACAAUGUUUUAGAUCAUUUUGAGUUUUAGUAUAUAUUAAAUUUCACUUUAAUAUUUUCAUUGGGUACAAGGAUACCAUUUUCAUUCAUUCUAGCAAUUUUGAGGAACUAGCAACUUUGAGGAGCUAGCUACUUUGAGAAGCGGACAUUGAACACAAAAUCUCAACUACACUACUGAAUGAUUGUAUCAUUUGAGCUACAAAAUCGCUGCACAAGAAGAUAUACCUUAGAAAUGAACAAACACUUUUGACAAAAAAACAAAAAAAAAAAAGAAAUGAAUAAACACUAGGCAAUAUAAAGGGUUACAUGGAGAUGAUGAUCAAAGAUUCAAAAUGAUUAAGGGCUAAAUAUGCAAGCAUAAAUAUUCAUAAUUAUUUAAGUAGAAAGCUCCGUAAAAAAAAAUGUAAAUCCUUUCAAUUCCCAUAUUACAUUUAAUAUUUUCAUUAGUUCUUAAAAAUAACAUUGUUUACCUUUCUCUUUUGUUUCACAUACUCUCCCUCUUGUGAAAGAAAGCGACCACCAUCACUUGCAACUACUACAACCAUCACGGCCACCACCCCGACAUCGCUACCUCCAUUACCACCACCAACGUUGUCACUUCCCCACCACCAUUGUUGCCUUUACACCCCACUCACAAGAAAGUGAAGGUGUUCAUUUCUAAUGGUAUACUAGCCUAAGAAAGUCAUCACCUAUGAACCACUCUACAUAUACAUAAGUGAUGACUUUCUUAGGCUACUAUACCAUUAGAAAUGAACACCUUCACUCUCUUCACCACCAUCAUCCCACGGGUCCCCAUCAACCCCUCACCAUCGUUUCCGCUAUCCACCACCAUUAACAUCAUGUUCAUUUACACCAAAUAAAACAAAUUUAUAUUGUUAAACGAUAUGAUACUAUUUUUUUUUCACUCACAACACUAAUAAAAAUAUAACUUACCAAACACUUAACAUCCUUAGUUUAGAACUUAUUAUUUUCAAAGUACAACAAGAGCAGUUUAUUCAAAAAAAAAUAAAAAACAAAAACAAUAUUAAAUUGGCCUUUAGAACUUUUAUGUGAUCGUUUCCUUGGGUCUAGCUGGAAUAUACCGUUACUCAAUGACUUGAACCUAUGCUCUAAUUCUAAAGGACUUGCAUCAAACAUGUAUAUUGUCACUAUGACGCCUAGUCUAAUAAUUCAAUAUCAUUUGUAAGUUUUUUUUCUUAGAACAUUACAUUAUUAGAUUAGGACACUAUAUGACGGUAAACCUGUUAUAUGUAGUUGGUUUCCAAAAUGUGCAUGUUUUGAGUACAGUGAAUAUGAACAUCCGUAGUCAUCAAAGGAACGACGAAAUUUUUGUGGACACCCAUUGUGGACACACAUGUUCACGCCAUGCAACUGCUCUCAUGACUCAUUUUUUGCUUGCUAAGAGCAAUUCCACCCCUAAAGACUUUGUGCCAGCACCCAGAGCAUUUAUCCACUCAAGUGAACAUUAAUAGACCUCAAUGAACAAUAAUAGGCCAAAGCAUCUCCACCCCUAAAAAAAAUGCGCUAGCACCCAGUCUAAAAAUGCACUAGCACAAACGGCAAAGAGAAGGCCACGUCGCCAUGAUCGGGGUGAUGGAUGAGUGUGCUGACAGCGGGCCCCGCCACCUGCAUUCCUGUCUCCUACUCGCGCCCACUCGCAAGUGAAAGCCACGUGCCAGCCAAAUAGGCCGGUCCCUAGGUCAGUCAAAAAUGGGCUGGUCUAUUGCCUGGCUUGGGCUGGGUGCCAUGCUAGUUUAUGGGCUAGAGUGGAUGCACUGACCCCCAGCCUGGUUUUUUGACUAGGUGCUGGCACAUUUCACCUCCGGUGGAAGUGCUCUAAGUUUCUAAAAGAUAUACCCUUAACUAUAUGCAUAUAACAUGCAUCGCUCCUUGGGAACAAGCUUUUCAUGCGUCCAUAGUACAAACAAAGUGGAAGACGUGGAACAUUAACUUCCAUUCCUUAAUCCUUCUUAUGACGUUAUUUCUGGGUCCGAUCGCAUCACACAUUAUCCACUUGACUCCAAUAACAAAGACAAGGAAUUUUCUUACAUGUAACAAGUUCAUUGAAACUGUACUAUAUUUAAUCAAUAAUAAAGCUUGUUUAUUCUGCUCAACAUAAUAUUACGUUAUCAAACCAAAACACCAAGUUGCACUCCACCGAAGACCUAAACCUUAAUUAAUUACCCACCUACAUAUUAGUUAACUUUAAUUACUAUAAUUAACACUUCGAAACAAAAUUAAUACAAUUAUGCCAUGAUAUCAUAUCUGAUGUGCUUGAGCAGCACCAGAUUCACGAUAUCAGGCGAGCUCAACUGUGGGAGAUAACCGUCUGAAGACAUGACCUCAACGAUCGACUUGCCACCGAGAUUCUGGUGCAAAUACUCGGUCACAACCAUGGGGACAGCAAGGUCUUUUACACUCUGUAAAAUGUGACAUGGCACCGUGAUUAACCUAAGUAUUUGUCUAAUGUCGCUUUGGAAUAUGGUUUGUGCCACGCUGAGGGAAAUGUCCGGUCGCAUGUUGAAUAGGGUCCGGCUAAACUCCUGGAUCGCCACUGAGUCCAUGUCCCUGCCCACCACCAGCGAUGCGAACCCGGAGCACCAUGCCUUGUAGUUGGACUGGAUCGCCUCGAAUAGUUGCUCCACAUCUUCUUGCUCGAAUCCUCCGUAGUAGUCCACGUCGUUGAGAAACCUAUAAAAAUGUUUCAUUUUAAUUGGUCGAAUUGUUAAUAGUGUUUAGGAAGUGUAAUUAAAUAACCUAAAAAUGAUUGAGAAAGAUUGGAGAGUCAACAUACUAGUCAAAAGGUAAUUUUCGAAGAUUUAAUUAAUUAAUUAGAUGGAUGGAUCCACUUUGAACAAACAUGUACUAAUUUAACAAAAUCAAUUACCACAUAAAAAGCACACGAAAAAGGUAAAAUUGGAGAAAAUUAGUAACAAUUGACUUAAUUAGUUAAUCAAAUUGAUGGUUCGAAUAAAAUUUCAAACUAAUCAGUCUCUACUUUGUUGGAUCAAAAAAAUGAAAACCAAUAUCUUAUUGGAAGGCAAAUUUGGGAUGAUAAAAUAAUUGGGUUUCUCCUUCAUCGAGAAUUCCUUACGUUCACAUCCCCACACGUCUCCUCAUCUGUGACGAAUUUUCAGGACAAACACGUGCACAACACAAAUAGGAUGACGUGAAACAUGUGACGUGGAGCAUGUGUGGUUAUUGAGUUUCACUGAUAUGGACUCUUUUACUUUCAUAUGAUCACACAUCUCACGUGUGAGAAAUUUUUAAGUCAAACAAGUAGACAACAUUUAUUGGGUGUCGUAGAGCACGUGAACCCUUUGGGCUUCACAUGUCGAUCAACCUGCUUUGAUUCAACAAAGUUGAGGUUACACAUGUCCUUGCAAGGUUGUAAGACUUUUUAACUUCAUAUCUCACAAUUAGUUCCUAAUUAAUGUUGAGAAUGAGUCUCACAUUGAUAAGAUGAUGGACCUUACAUGUGCUUAUAAGUAAAUUUAGCUACUCCUCAUGUUGCAAAUUGGAAUUAUGGUAGAACCUCAACUUUUUUCAUGGUAUCAGAAUAGGUUGUCCCAAGUGUGAAACCAAACGACCACACAUGCUUCACGUUACCCUCUUAUGCCCACGUCACUUGAGCUUUGUUGUCCACAUUGCAUGUGCUUAUAAGUAAGUUAGGCUACUCCUCAUAUUGCCAAUUGAUUUUAUGGUAAAACCUCAACUUUUCUUUAAUUAAAAUAUUAUUUUGGUUCCAAUCUCUAAUAAACUUAAUUGUUAGACUGAAAACAACGUUUAAAUAUUUUGAUUGAUGUUCUUAAUUUCAUUUAAGAGAUUUAACUCAUGCAUUUAAUGUCCCACAAAUUAUAAAAUUUAAAUAAUAUUUUUAAAAUAUAAUAAAUACUUAAAAAUUAAUUUUAGAAUAAUCUUGUUCUUCACAAAAAUUAUAGGAAAAAAAAUAUUGAUGUACCAACAUAAUUUUUAACAUAUUUUAAAAAAAUAACUAUUAAUAUAUUUUAAAACAUAAAAUAAAUACAUAUAAUUAGCAUGGGUACAUUUAGCAAAAUUAAAAAUAAGUACAAAUAAAUUAAAAAUAUAUAAGUACAAAUACAAAUAAAAGUUAAAAAAAUAUAAGUACAGAAAAGAAUUAAUAUAUGAAUACAAAUUAAAACUGAAAAUAAAAUUGGUACAAAUUAGGAAAAGGUUACAAAAUAAAAAUGAGUACAAACUAAAAUUAAAAAUACAUGAUAAAAAAUUUAGUUAUAAACAUAAAUAUACCAAGUAUAACUUUUCUAACACCAUCUCCAAACCUUGGUUAAAAGCCAAAUUACCCCCCAAAUUACCCCCAAACACUCUCCAACCAUGUUAAAAUUUUAGGCUAAAUACCAAAUGUUAUUUCUGAGUCAAAUACCCCCAACUUUCCCCGGGCUAAAUGUCAAAUGUUUAUCGGAAUUUAAAUUUUUUUAGAUUAAAAUGUUCAUAAAAUUAAUUUACAAUAAUCUACAUAUUUAUUUAUUUUUUUUAAAUUGAUUUAAGAAAAAAAUUAGCCUAAGUUCAUUCUUUAAUAAUUCCGGAUUAAAAUUUUAGGGCAGAAAGGUUGGAGUAGAAAAGAUGUUUCUGGACUAAAAGCCAAAUUUUCCGGGUUAAAAAAUUUGGCUUUUAGCCUAAGAGAUUGUCUAAUGCUAUAUAAAUAUAUUUAGAAAUAAAAAAAUAUUUUAUUAUUAAAAUAAUUAAUUAUGUUUAUCAAAAUUUAAGGACCUUGACCAAAUUUGCAAAAGAACAAGAUUUAAUCAAGAGGAAAAAUUGGGAUAAGAAUCUAAUUUUUCUUAAUUAAAUAGAUUAAUUGGACGACGAUGGAAUUUUACCUGGGAGAGGCGGCGAUCAUGAUGAGCUUGGUGAAGAGGUCGGGACGGGUGACAGCGGCGAUGGCGCCGAUCAUGGCGGACAUGGAGUGGUCGACGAAAAUGCAUGACUGGACGUGGAGCACCUCGAGAAUGGCGAGGAGGUCGUAGGCGUAGCCUUCGAGGGUGGAGUAGCGCUCGAAGUCGAAGUAUUCGGGGUUAGUGGUUCCGGCGCCCAUGUUGUCGUACAAAAUGACGCGGUAGUCGUCGACGAGGUGGGGGACGAGGUGUUUCCAGACCGACUGAUCGGUGCCGAAGCCGUGGCCCAGGACUAGGACUUGCUGACCCGACCCU